GCCCUGGUGGCUCAGUGGUUAAGUGCUUGGCUGCUAACCAAAAUGCUGGCGGUUCAAACCCACCAGAGGCU
RNAcentral lists this transfer RNA (71 nucleotides) under Loxodonta africana (African savanna elephant). It matches the Rfam family "tRNA". Rfam says of the family: Transfer RNA (tRNA) molecules are approximately 80 nucleotides in length. Their secondary structure includes four short double-helical elements and three loops (D, anti-codon, and T loops). Lineage: Eukaryota; Metazoa; Chordata; Mammalia; Proboscidea; Elephantidae. The record is from Rfam by way of RNAcentral.